This 40-nucleotide non-coding RNA is filed under the name Trypanosoma brucei brucei. The record is from RNAcentral. Lineage: Eukaryota; Euglenozoa; Kinetoplastea; Trypanosomatida; Trypanosomatidae.
AAUAACGAAGGCUUAUAUACGGUAAUGAGAUUGAUGAUAU